GCCCCCGUUGUCUAAUGGCUAUGACGUCAGACUUCUACCAUUAGGUUACGGGAUCUGGAGGUUGCGGGUUCGAGUCCCGCCGGGGGUA
RNAcentral lists this transfer RNA (88 nucleotides) under Trametes sanguinea. RNAcentral describes it as "tRNA-Arg". It matches the Rfam family "tRNA". From Rfam's summary of the family: Transfer RNA (tRNA) molecules are approximately 80 nucleotides in length. Lineage: Eukaryota; Fungi; Basidiomycota; Agaricomycetes; Polyporales; Polyporaceae. The record is from RNAcentral.